RNAcentral lists this unclassified non-coding RNA (275 nucleotides) under Hevea brasiliensis (rubber tree). The record is from RNAcentral. Lineage: Eukaryota; Viridiplantae; Streptophyta; Magnoliopsida; Malpighiales; Euphorbiaceae.
GAGAUUUUUUUUAUUAUAACUCUCUUCAUCCUUCCCCUUCCUUAUCCUUCCAAUAAUUACCCUUCCCUUACCCCAUCCAAACAGAGCUAAGGGUAUUUUAAUAAUUUUUUAUACGAUUAAUCAAAAUUGACUUUGAAUUGUACAGAUUUAAAAUUCAAAGACGAAACUGUUUAUGAAUUUUAAAAAGAUAGAGAAAAAUAUUAAUAGUGAUUAAUUUAAGAAUUAAAAAGUAAUUUAUUUUUGUUUUAUCAAGUUGACAUAAAGUUCAAUUUUCA